RNAcentral lists this ribosomal RNA (253 nucleotides) under uncultured bacterium. RNAcentral describes it as "partial 16S ribosomal RNA". It matches the Rfam family "Bacterial small subunit ribosomal RNA", at positions 524 to 776 of the family's 1533-position model. The record is from RNAcentral.
UACAGAGGGUGCGAGCGUUAAUCGGAAUUACUGGGCGUAAAGCGCGCGUAGGCGGCUUUGCAAGUCGGGUGUGAAAUCCCCAGGCUUAACCUGGGAACUGCAUUCGAGACUGCAUUGCUAGAGUAUGGGAGAGGGAAGUGGAAUUUCCGGUGUAGCGGUGAAAUGCGUAGAUAUCGGAAGGAACAUCAGUGGCGAAGGCGGCUUUCUGGGCCUUACCUGACGCUGAGACGCGAAAGCGUGGGGAGCGAACCGG